This 469-nucleotide ribosomal RNA is filed under the name uncultured bacterium. Its description in RNAcentral is "partial 16S ribosomal RNA". It matches the Rfam family "Bacterial small subunit ribosomal RNA", at positions 28 to 507 of the family's 1533-position model. The record is from RNAcentral.
GACGAACGCUGGCGGCGUGCUUAACACAUGCAAGUCGAACGGAAAGGCCCUGCUUGCAGGGUGCUCGAGUGGCGAACGGGUGAGUAACACGUGGGUGAUCUGCCCCUUACUUUGGGAUAAGCCUGGGAAACUGGGUCUAAUACUGGAUAGGACCAUGCUGUAGGUGGUGUGGUGGAAAGAUUAGUUUCGGUAAGGGAUGAGCUCGCGGCCUAUCAGCUUGUUGGUGGGGUAAUGGCCUACCAAGGCGUCGACGGGUAGCCGGCCUGAGAGGGUGGACGGCCAGAUUGGGACUGAGAUACGGCCCAGACUCCUACGGGAGGCAGCAGUGGGGAAUAUUGCAAAAUGGGCGCAAGCCUGAUGCAGCGAAGCCGCGUGGGGGAUGACGGCCUUCGGGUUGUAAACUCCUUUCAGCCAUGACGAAGCCCUUGUGGUGACGGUAGUGGUAGAAGAAGCACCGGCUAACUACGUG